Molecule: long non-coding RNA, 2761 nt
Organism: Aquila chrysaetos chrysaetos
Lineage: Eukaryota; Metazoa; Chordata; Aves; Accipitriformes; Accipitridae
Exons: 3
Source: RefSeq, a predicted model, not a curated record
ACAGCAUCUUUUUGCUCCGGCAGCGGUGACCCAAGCCUCCCACUGCCACUUACCUGCCCAGCCAGCUGCUCUCCUUAAAGCAGAAUGGGAUGGGUCCGAUGCCUUCUUUUCUUGGCAAGUCUACCCCGGCACUUUUUAAACUUGAUUUAUUUUUUUUCCAGAUGCUUGCAAAUCAAUUGUUCUAUCAUUUUUAGUGUUUUUCUGGGAAGUGAAAUGAGGCUGUACAUUAUUCCUCUGGUCUCCUUCCUUUUAUUAUGUCAAGUCUCCACCAACAUCUUUGGAGCGAGGGGAUGUGCUGAGCUGUCCAGUUCCUGGGCUUCCUCCUACCACCGCAGCAUGGGCAAAAGCAGCUGGCAAAAUCAGAUUAAUAGGCCGUCUGAAAACUCAGGCAGCUAUUAUCGUCACAUUUAUCUAUAUAAUAUGAAUGGAACAAGCUCUGCAAACACAGAUAGAGACAUAAACUUAUCUGAAAGAAAGAUUGUACUUUGGAGCAUUCAGUACAACUGUGGGAAAAUAAAUGUGGGCACCUGAUUGUCCUGCUUCUGCCUGACUUCCAGCUGCUCUGAUGUCUGCUGCCGAUCACUCAAAGCUGUUGCUGACAGGCAACUGAAUAAAUACGAAACAUCCUUCAAUAAGAAAAUUCACCAGCAUGGAGAAGACAACACAAGUGCUUAGCUAAAAGGAGAACACCAAACACCAACCCUCCUCUCCUCCCUACUUCAAGAAUAUUCCCUCUCCUUAAUACUGUGAGAAAAUGGCAGCUGCUGCAUUUUAAGAGAUUUGGCAAUGUACUGAUGUUAGAUGCAGAAAGGAAGUUUGAUUUACAAACUUGUCACAGAUUCUCUCUGCAAGGGAUCUGUCAGAGUAGAAACAUGUUUUGAAAAUGAAUUAGCAGGAUGAGGGACUUGUUUUGAACAAGGAAUUCCUCAUAGGAAUGGUCAGGGGAAACAGGUCUCUUGGCUGACCUCUAUGGCCGUUAGCUGGCAUCCUUUGACUCCAAUCCGUGGAAAGCCAGAACAGACACACACUCACACCUACGCUUCAAGGUUAUCCAAAGAAAAGGGCAAGCGGAAUGAUUUUUUCAUUGUCUUUUACAACAAGCAGUUGAGAUUUGGUGUUAAGUAAAUACAAAACAAGACUUGAACACCGCCAGGCACAUGUUUACUUAUAUACUUGUUUAUAAAUAAUGCUAUUACAGGAGCAUCAUGACUAUGCCUUGAUCAAGGGUUGAGUUACUGAGCAUAAUGAGCUAUGGUUGAUGGGAUAAUGCAAAUGACUGAGUGUGAUGAGCCUUGGGACAGGCCAUGGACCAACAAGCAACUAGAGAACAACAUCUGAAACUGCUGGGAAAGUGGUAUCGUUGUAGACAGAUUUGGCUGGUAGCCUGUGUCGACAUCUGGCUAUAAGUCCCCAGCACUAGAGAGUAAUAGAGACUAGACGGAGGCAUUGCUCUGAAGAUGUGCAACACCUCGUGGAAGCAGAUUGCUCAAGAUGGAACCAUCACACAUGGUGCUGAGCUGCUGCCCAGAGCCCAACACAGAGACAGGUUGGGCAGAGCGAGCGUCAUGUUCCCCUGGGCUUGACUGUGCCAACUCACUGUGCACGGUGAAGGCUUCAGUUAAUUCUGUGUGUGUACGCGCCCGUGUGCGUAGCUUUUCCUGAUACAGCCUGUCCCUUUGCUUGGUGAACUAAGUUGAGCUUGGCAAUAUCGCAUUGUCUGGUGUUUCUUUUCCACCUAUGACAGAUGGGAACUAGAAAAAUAGAGAAAAAGAGAAAGAGGGAUGAAAGGAUGACUUUAGCAAUAGGACAAUAAGAAGAAAAUAAAAAGAAAAUGAGAAAAUGUAUGGGAAAUGUGUGAGACUUCAGUGACUGGCUGAGAAGGGAAUUGUCGGCGGAUCAGAGACAGAACCGAGGGCGGUAGGGCUUCGUCCACCCACCACAACCUUCAGGAAUGGCAACCUGCCAUCUGAUCCUUGUCAGCAGUGCCUGGGGAUAUGACAGGAAAGUGAAAUGGGUCCUCCCUUCCUGGCCCUUCAGGAAACACGGCCAACUACUGUGGUGGUGCAUUUCCACCCUGCUCCUGGGCCGCUCUAUGAUCUCAGGAAUUCCCGUUAGGCCUUAGCAUUUGUGUAAUGAGUUGGGCGGUUAAGCGUCCCUUGACCGUACCAGGAGCUCUUGCAUGGCUAAGGUGGGGAGCAGCACUGACCGUACCAAGGACUCCUGUUGCCUGGCGGAGGUGGGGAAUGGGAGCAGGAAUAUUAGUCAUUCCCUGACAGCCUUGGAACCUUCCUUAUCUGAAUUGUAGCUCAUGUGAAAACGGCACCGGUGCUACUGGAAUUCCAGUAAUUUGCUGAUGACUAAAAUGAAUCAUCUCACAAACCUAUAAACAGCGGUACUAAGUGAGACCCUUUGAGCCAUCCUGGACUGCAGUGGGCUGCGACCAGCAUCUCCCUCUGAGGGGGACACCUCUCAGAGCUCACAAACUCUCCAGUUUGUGAAAAUUGGAGGACUGUUGCCGAAAGCUGACGAUGGGACCUGGGCUGAUAUUCUUCGUUCCUUGAGGCUCAACCCUUUGCCUGUUGAGAAAAAUGCUGAGACAUUUGACAUGAAUAUUUUCACUGAACUCAAGGGGAAAUUUUAACAGACUUGCUGAUAUACGUGAAAGAUCACAUUUACGUGUUCCACGGACCACAGGACAUCUCGUCUUCUUAACCACUAAAGCAGCUCCGUGCUGACCCACAGGGACAGCAGAACUGUACAA